UGCAGGAGCCGGCUUGCUGGCGAUGGCAUCAAUUCGGUAUGUCAGAUAACACCGAGGUGAUGCCAUCGCCAGCAAGCCGGCUCCUACA
RNAcentral lists this unclassified non-coding RNA (88 nucleotides) under Pseudomonas migulae. The record is from RNAcentral. Lineage: Bacteria; Pseudomonadati; Pseudomonadota; Gammaproteobacteria; Pseudomonadales; Pseudomonadaceae.